AAAAGAACUUUGAAGAGAGAGUUCAAGAGGACGUGAAACCACAAGGGGCGAAGCGGAGAGAGUUGAUAUAGCUGGCAGUGAUCAGUGCUGUAGAGUGCUCCGCUGUGCGUUGGCUGAUAGUUUAGUCGGUCGCGUGCGGUUUGGGUGGGCGCUUUGCGGUGCGCUUUCGCUGUCAGUAUACGCUGAGACGUUCGGAGUGUCCUUCUGAACCGUGCAGUGUGGUCCAGUUCGCUGGUAACCUGUUGUGCGGGGAGGUUGAUGUACGCUCUGUUCGGCAAAAGCUCGUUCAUGUACGGAGUUUGUGAGCGCUUGUCGGCUGCGGCGUUGGUGGCUUGCCAUCUGCGUCGUGUGUUGGCUCGUGUUUGCGAACGCUGUUAGGACCUGCUCUCGGUGAGAAAGUCGACCACCUCUCCGACCCGUCUUGAAACACGGACCAAGAAGUCUAGCAGUUGCGCGAGUCAAUGGGUUUUAAACCUACUGGCGAAAUGAAAGUGAAGGUCGGCUUGCCGGCUGAUAUGUGAUCCGUGGCUUCGGCUGCGGCGCAACAUAGCCCCAUGCUAAUUGCUUGCAAUGGUGUGGAGGUAGAGCGUAACUGCUGGGACCCGAAAGAUGGUGAACUAUGCCUGAGCAGGAUGAAGCCAGAGGAAACUCUGGUGGAAGUCCGAAGCGGUUCUGACGUGCAAAUCGAUCGUCUGACUCGGGUAUAGGGGCGAAAGACUAAUCGAACCAUC
Molecule: ribosomal RNA, 731 nt
Filed under: Rhabditidoides aegus
Lineage: Eukaryota; Metazoa; Nematoda; Chromadorea; Rhabditida; Diplogasteridae
Description: eukaryotic LSU rRNA
Rfam family: Eukaryotic large subunit ribosomal RNA
Source: RNAcentral